GGAUGAUCUCCGCUUGCUGGGCGAAGCCAUUCAUGGGUGCUGGAUUCUGCGAAGUACUUCCGAAGCCGAACACCUGGUCUCGGAUGGCUCCGAACGAGUGGCCGGGGUCGGGGUCCACGAACUCGGCCUUGUCCGAGACAAACACCGUCCCCGAGCUUGGGUCGGUUAAGUUCAUCGGGUUGCUCUCCUUCCCUGUCAACCCGUCGAUCUCCGGGUUGAGCUUCUUGAGCCAGCCGAGCAUAUGAUCGAAGGACCUGUUCUCCUGGACGAGCACGACUAUCGUCUUGAUCCGGCCGCUCGGCUGCGCUGCAUUGGUGCCGGGGCUCAAGAGGAGCAGGAAAAGAGGGGACAAGAUUAAAUAGCGCGCGCUGGAUUCUUUGCUUGGCCACUUCAAGAAUACCAGCGCAACAAAGGAAUGAGUAGCGCUCACUCCAGUCGAUGCAAAUCUUAUAAGCAAGUAUGGUGAGUGUGCACGCUCAUGACUUUGCCUUGCACGCAUCCAGCCCAAACUCAUGAGGGUCCUCCAUCCCCAAGCGCUCGUAAGCAGGCCCGAGCGAAUGAAAAGAACAGAAGGUGUGAAAGGAACCCCCAGAAAGCGAGCAAGAACCUUUUCUCUCAAACAGCGGAGAGGAAGAUAGACGAUGAUGCGAAUAUGCCGCGUCCAUUUGUCUGGAUUGGUUAAUUGAUGCCAGUAACUGUUUGGCAA
Molecule: long non-coding RNA, 706 nt
Organism: Selaginella moellendorffii
Lineage: Eukaryota; Viridiplantae; Streptophyta; Lycopodiopsida; Selaginellales; Selaginellaceae
Exons: 2
Source: RefSeq, a predicted model, not a curated record